Molecule: ribosomal RNA, 555 nt
Filed under: uncultured bacterium
Lineage: Bacteria
Description: bacterial SSU rRNA
Rfam family: Bacterial small subunit ribosomal RNA
Source: RNAcentral
GACGAACGCUGGCCGGCGCUGCUAACUAGCAGUGCCAAUGUCGAUACGACCAGUUGAUAAAUGAGUGCUUGCACUCGACCUUCAAACUGGGCAGUGGCGAACGGGUGAGUAAGCACAGUGGGUAACCGUGCCCUGAAGUGGGGGAUUAACAUUCGGAAACAGGUGCUAAGUACCGCAUAAUACCUAUCCGACCACUAUGGUCGGUGUUUGAAAGGCGGCUUCGGCUGUCACUUCGGGAUGGACCCGCGGCGUAUUAGCUAGCUUGGUAAGUGUAACGGCUUACCAAGGCGACGAUACGUAGCCGACCUGAGAGUGGUAAUCUGGCCACAUUGGGACUGAGACACUGGCCCAAACUCCUACGGGAGGCAGCAGUAGGGAAUCUUCCACAAUGGACGAAAGUCUGAUGGAGCAACGCCGCGUGAGUGAAGAAGGUUUUCGGAUCGUAAAACUCUGUUGUUAGAGAAGAACGUGGGUGAGAGUAACUGUUCACCCAGUGACGGUAUCUAACCAGAAAGCCACGGGCUAACUACGUGCCAGCAGCCGCGGUAAUACGUA